This 433-nucleotide ribosomal RNA is filed under the name uncultured bacterium. Its description in RNAcentral is "partial 16S ribosomal RNA". It matches the Rfam family "Bacterial small subunit ribosomal RNA", at positions 29 to 507 of the family's 1533-position model. The record is from RNAcentral.
AACGAACGCUGGCGGCAUGCCUAACACAUGCAAGUCGAACGAGACCUUCGGGUCUAGUGGCGCACGGGUGCGUAACGCGUGAGAACCUGCCCUUAGGUUCGGAAUAACUCCCCGAAAGGGGUGCUAAUACCGGAUAAUGUCUUCGGACCAAAGAUUUAUCGCCUUUGGAUGGGUCCGCGUUGGAUUAGCUAGUUGGUAGGGUAAAAGCCUACCAAGGCGACGAUCCAUAGCUGGUCUGAGAGGAUGAUCAGCCACACUGGGACUGAGACACGGCCCAGACUCCUACGGGAGGCAGCAGUGGGGAAUAUUGGACAAUGGGCGAAAGCCUGAUCCAGCAAUGCCGCGUGAGUGAUGAAGGCCUUAGGGUUGUAAAGCUCUUUUACCCGGGAUGAUAAUGACAGUACCGGGAGAAUAAGCUCCGGCUAACUCCGUG